CACAUCAAAAUAGGUUCACUUUCAAUUAUGUUAUUGAACAUAUAUUUUCAUUUUGAUCAUAUGUGUUUUUCAGUUGCAUUUAAUAUGUAUUUAUUUUUUUUAUUUUUGAUAAAGAGCGAUAGUAUUUUAUUGAUAAGAGGAACAUAAACAAGUACAAAGCCACUAUGGUGCUAAACCAUAUUUGGUUUAUGUUAAAGCUUAUUGAAAAUUAGUCUAUGAAGCUAUGAACUACCGUUAUUUAUAUGAUUUAAUAUUUACUUUUAUUUCUGGAAAGACUAUAGAAAUUGUAAGCACCAAAAAAAAUAAUCAUUCAAUUUUAAGGUAACA
Molecule: long non-coding RNA, 327 nt
Filed under: Prunus persica (peach)
Lineage: Eukaryota; Viridiplantae; Streptophyta; Magnoliopsida; Rosales; Rosaceae
Description: long non-coding RNA (PPER_LNC006368)
Source: RNAcentral